Molecule: ribosomal RNA, 252 nt
Filed under: uncultured microorganism
Description: partial 16S ribosomal RNA
Rfam family: Bacterial small subunit ribosomal RNA
Source: RNAcentral
UACGUAGGUCCCGAGCGUUGUCCGGAUUUAUUGGGUGUAAAGCGAGCGCAGGUGGUUUAAUAAGUCUGAUGUAAAAGGCAGUGGCUCAACCAUUGUGUGCAUUGGAAACUGUUAGACUUGAGUGCAGUAGAGGAGAGUGGAAUUCCAUGUGUAGCGGUGAAAUGCGUAGAUAUAUGGAGGAACACCGGUGGCGAAAGCGGCUCUCUGGACUGUAACUGACACUGAGGCUCGAAAGCGUGGGUAGCAAACAGG